AUACGGAGGGUGCAAGCGUUACUCGGAAUCACUGGGCGUAAAGCGCGCGCAGGCGGCCAUUUAAGUUGGAUGUGAAAGCCUACGGCUCAACCGUAGAACUGCAUCCAAAACUAUUUAGCUAGAGUGUGGGAGAGGAAGAUGGAAUUAGUUGUGUAGGGGUAAAAUCCGUAGAGAUAACUAGGAAUACCAAAAGCGAAGGCAAUCUUCUGGAACACUACUGACGCUGAGGCGCGAAAGCGUGGGGAGCAAACGGGAGUAGAAACCCGAGUAGUCC
This 274-nucleotide ribosomal RNA is filed under the name uncultured bacterium. RNAcentral describes it as "partial 16S ribosomal RNA". It matches the Rfam family "Bacterial small subunit ribosomal RNA", at positions 523 to 796 of the family's 1533-position model. The record is from RNAcentral.